UCAAUAAAAGAAAUUUGUUUGUGACGAUGUUACUUUGUUUGAAAACACUCAUUUUUUAAAAGAGAGUCGUGUACUUGAUAAAAUAUUUUUUAUCCUGCUUUAUGUAUUCUUGUUGAUCUUUUCAACCCAUUUACCUGACUCCAUUGAAUCUAGUACAUCUACCGGUCAUGAUAUUCCUCAGGAGCAGCCUAUAAAGGUUUACACUAGAACAAAAAUGUAGGGUGGAAAUUCCCCACCAACUUAGCCUUCCACUCAAUCAUCAUCUUUGUCUACUAAUCCACUUCCUUCUUGUGAUGAUUAAAGAGGGCAAUGGAAGAAGAGAUGAAUACACUUAAUUCAAAUGACACUUGGGAAGUCACUGAGUUAACAACUGGAAAAAGGGUUCAUUGGGUGUUGAUGCGUUUAUGUAUUCAAAUAUCAACCUGAUGGCAUUGUAGAAAGAUUACAAACGAGAUUGAUAGCUAAGGUAUACACGCAGAUAUUUGGCAUUGACUACUCUGAAAUAUUUGCCCCUAUUGCUAAACUUAAUUCAGCUCAAGUAGUUAUA
Non-coding RNA from Amborella trichopoda, 547 nucleotides. The record is from RefSeq and is a predicted model, not a curated record. Lineage: Eukaryota; Viridiplantae; Streptophyta; Magnoliopsida; Amborellales; Amborellaceae.